RNAcentral lists this long non-coding RNA (225 nucleotides) under Elaeis guineensis (African oil palm). RNAcentral describes it as "long non-coding RNA (EGUI_LNC070026)". Lineage: Eukaryota; Viridiplantae; Streptophyta; Magnoliopsida; Arecales; Arecaceae. The record is from RNAcentral.
UGAGCUAGUAUAACGUGAUGCCAAUCGAAGAGCGUCGUGGGGGCAUAACUGUGGCAUAUGAUGCCCAGCUUAGUUUGCCAUUGCUCGCACCAUCUCCUAAUAGGUCUGGUGUAGCUGGCUCGUAUCUCGAUCCAGAGAUGCUGUUCUGGGUGCUCACAUCUCCAAUGCUUUAGAGUGAGGUUCUUCGAUGGACCUCGCCCUCGCCUCACUACCGAUGAAGACUGG